This 406-nucleotide ribosomal RNA is filed under the name uncultured bacterium. RNAcentral's name for it is "partial 16S ribosomal RNA". It matches the Rfam family "Bacterial small subunit ribosomal RNA", at positions 29 to 526 of the family's 1533-position model. The record is from RNAcentral.
AUUGAACGCUGGCGGCAAGCCUAACACAUGCAAGUCGAACGAGUGGCGGACGGGUGAGUAAUGUGUGGGAAACUGCCUGAUGGAGGGGGAUAACUACUGGAAACGGUAGCUAAUACCGCAUACCAUCGGAUGUGCCCAGAUGGGAUUAGCUCGUAGGUGGGGUAAAGGCUCACCUGGGCGACGAUCCCUCGCUGGUCUGAGAGGAUGACCAGCCACAUUGGAACUGAGACACGGCCAAGAUGCCUACGGGAGGCAGCAGUGGGGAAUAUGGGACAAGGGGCGCAGGCCUGAUGCAGCCAGGCGGCGUGUAUGAAGAAGGCCUUCGGGUUGUAAAGUACUUUCAGCGGGGAGGCGGUACCUGCAGAAGAAGCACCGGCUAACUCCGUGCCAGCAGCCGCGGUAAUUC